Molecule: ribosomal RNA, 253 nt
Filed under: uncultured bacterium
Lineage: Bacteria
Description: partial 16S ribosomal RNA
Rfam family: Bacterial small subunit ribosomal RNA
Source: RNAcentral
UACGGGGGGGGCAAGCGUUGUUCGGAAUUACUGGGCGUAAAGGGUUCGUAGGUGGCCAACUAAGUCAGACGUGAAAUCCCUCAGCUUAACUGGGGAACUGCGUCUGAUACUGGAUGGCUUGAGUGCAGGAGAGGAACGCGGAAUUCCAGGUGUAGCGGUGAAAUGCGUAGAUAUCUGGAGGAACACCGGUGGCGAAGGCGGCAUCCUGGACCAAUAUUGACGCUGAGGAGCGAAAGCCAGGGGAGCAAACGGG